Molecule: non-coding RNA, 25 nt
Filed under: Mus musculus (house mouse)
Lineage: Eukaryota; Metazoa; Chordata; Mammalia; Rodentia; Muridae
Source: RNAcentral
UGCUGUCCUGAGAUAUCUGUCCAGU